AGGGACAGUUGUUAAAAUUUAUCCGGGUGUUUAUGAAUUGCAUUCCUAAGGUAAACAAUUAGUUGAUGUCUUUGUUGAGCCAAAAGUAAGCAGAUGAUGUAAAUGAAUUCAAUCAGUUGAAAAAUUGAAACUUGAAGUGAUAAUUCACUUUAGAAUUGCUAGUAGUUCAUAGAUGAUGUAAUUUCUUUCCUCAUUCAAGAAAGUGAAAAAUAUCAAUGUGG
Molecule: unclassified non-coding RNA, 221 nt
Filed under: Hevea brasiliensis (rubber tree)
Lineage: Eukaryota; Viridiplantae; Streptophyta; Magnoliopsida; Malpighiales; Euphorbiaceae
Source: RNAcentral